Molecule: ribosomal RNA, 430 nt
Filed under: Pseudomonadota bacterium
Lineage: Bacteria; Pseudomonadati; Pseudomonadota
Description: Proteobacteria bacterium partial 16S ribosomal RNA
Rfam family: Bacterial small subunit ribosomal RNA
Source: RNAcentral
UGGGGAAUAUUGGACAAUGGGGGGAACCCUGAUCCAGCCAUGCCGCGUGUGUGAAGAAGGCCUUAUGGUUGUAAAGCACUUUAAGCGAGGAGGAGGGUACUGGUAUUAAUACUACCAGGUACUGGACGUUACUCGCAGAAUAAGCACCGGCUAACUCUGUGCCAGCAGCCGCGGUAAUACAGAGGGUGCGAGCGUUAAUCGGAUUUACUGGGCGUAAAGCGUGCGUAGGCGGCUAAUUGAGUCGGAUGUGAAAUCCCCGAGCUUAACUUGGGAAUUGCAUUCGAUACUGGUUAGCUGGAGUGUGGGAGAGGAUGGUAGAAUUCCAGGUGUAGCGGUGAAAUGCGUAGAGAUCUGGAGGAAUACCGAUGGCGAAGGCAGCCAUCUGGCCUAACACUGACGCUGAGGUACGAAAGCAUGGGGAGCAAACAGG